This 1415-nucleotide unclassified non-coding RNA is filed under the name Hevea brasiliensis (rubber tree). Lineage: Eukaryota; Viridiplantae; Streptophyta; Magnoliopsida; Malpighiales; Euphorbiaceae. The record is from RNAcentral.
UUAAUAUUUCACAGAGAUGCAACAAGGGUGGAAGCUCUUAUGCGGUAAAAAAAUCCAACAUUUCACAGAGAUGAUAAUGGUAGGGUGCUCUUCGUAGAAUUAUAAAUUCACUAUUCAUAAAACAAAGCCUCAUCCACAGAACAAACAGCUGCCUCUAUAUAGUUCUUGAUAGGCUAUUUGCUUCUUUUCAUGGAGCCAACUUCGAUUUUCAAGAAGGGUGAUGCUCCUGAUUCAGGAACCGACAAGUCUCCAAGAAACCUUACAAAAUAUAAAGAGAUCAUCUCAACCCUUACUCAAAAACGUAGCUGGCUUCCAUCUCAACCACUCCACGAAUACCAAGGAUUUUGGUGCUAUCCAACUUUCCUGGAAGGCAUCAUGUCAGCACAAGAACACUUCAUAGCUCAACCUACAGAUAUUUUCACUUGCACCCAUCCAAAAUGUGGCACCACUUGGCUUAAAUCCAUGUGUUUUGCCGUUCUGACAAGAAGAAAUUUCAGUGAUUCCUCCUCAAACCCUUUACUUACCGAGUCGCCACAUGAAAUUGUACCCUGGAUUGACUUUUUAGCUUCCAGUGGCCAAACUAGAGACCCCGAACUUCCACUUUUGGCCACACACAUUCCCUACACGUCCUUGCCCAAGUCCAUUGUAGAGUCCAACUGUAAAAUUAUUUACACCUGCAGGGAUCCCAAGGAUGUGUUUAUUUCGCUGUGGCAAUUUGCUGGCAUUGUGAGCGGUUCAAGAGCAGAAGACUUUCCACUGGAGGAGGCAUACCAGAAAUUUUGUGAAGGAGUCCAUCCUUACGGUCCUUAUUGGGAUCAUGUUCUAGGGUAUUGGAAAGCACACCUUCAAUUUCCAGAUCGAGUGCUCUUUAUCAAAUAUGAAGAUCUAAAGAAUGACACCUUCUCCUAUGUGAAGAGAAUGGCAGAGUUCAUGGGAUGCCCUUUGUCCAUGGAAGAAGAGAGUCAAGGAUUGGUGCAAAAAAUUGUCGACUUGUGCAGCUUUGAGAGUCUGAGCAAUGUGGAGGUGAAUAAGAGUAAAAAGAGGAGCUCUGCAACAGGAGCUUUCAAGCUUCAAUACGAUGCAUUUUUUAGGAAAGGUAAGAUUGGGGAUUGGGAGAACUAUUUGACAGUUGACAUGGCAGCUCAACUUGACCAAAUAACCGAGCAGAAGCUCAGUGGAACUGGCUUGUCUUUCCCAACUUCAUAUAACAGCCCUGUGUCAUAAUUUUAUGUGGUUUGCUUCUUCCAUUGAUGCUCUUAUAGUGUAGAAGGCUUUCAGUCAUUAUCUAUAUAUAGUUUUCAAUAAAUUAAAUUUUAAUGUUGAUCAUUCUUCUACGAUGAACCUAAUUCUCCCAAAAUAAACUGAAAUUUCUUACUAUUUUCAUGCGAUUGUGAUGCAUACAUUUUGCAUAGUCA